AUUGAACGCUGGCGGCAUGCUUUACACAUGCAAGUCGAACGGUAACAGGCCGCAAGGUGCUGACGAGUGGCGAACGGGUGAGUAAUGCAUCGGAACGUGCCCAGUCGUGGGGGAUAACGCAGCGAAAGCUGCGCUAAUACCGCAUACGAUCUAUGGAUGAAAGCGGGGGACCGUAAGGCCUCGCGCGAUUGGAGCGGCCGAUGUCAGAUUAGGUAGUUGGUGGGGUAAAGGCUCACCAAGCCAACGAUCUGUAGCUGGUCUGAGAGGACGACCAGCCACACUGGGACUGAGACACGGCCCAGACUCCUACGGGAGGCAGCAGUGGGGAAUUUUGGACAAUGGGCGCAAGCCUGAUCCAGCAAUGCCGCGUGCAGGAAGAAGGCCUUCGGGUUGUAAACUGCUUCUGUACGGAACGAAAAGGCUCUGGAUAAUACCUGGGGCUCAUGACGGUACCGUAAGAAUAAGCACCGGCUAACUACGUGCCAGCAGCCGCAGUAA
RNAcentral lists this ribosomal RNA (498 nucleotides) under uncultured bacterium. RNAcentral describes it as "partial 16S ribosomal RNA". It matches the Rfam family "Bacterial small subunit ribosomal RNA", at positions 29 to 523 of the family's 1533-position model. The record is from RNAcentral.